AUGAAUUCAUAGUGCUAGUGGCAUAGAGAGUUUUGUUUGGUGGACAUCCCUAAACACAGUUAAAAACUAUGUUAUACCAGUAUUACAUGAUUGUUAGUUAGAGGGAAUCAUCAAGUGUGUCCUUUCUUUAGCAUUCAAUGGAAUGGGUUUCUCCAUGUGGCCAAGAGCCUAAAGCUAGGUUAUAUUAUUAGUUACCUAACUGUGUGCAAAAACUAUAUUUGACUAAUCCUUUGAUGUGGCAAUGGAGGGAAUCACUAGUGCCACAAGGCACCAAAGAAAAUUGUUUGGCGAGUACCAUUGAAGAGGCUAAAAUGUCAUAUAUAUGGCAGACUACAAGUUAACACACUUUAGAAUCCUUGGGGCGUUUAUAUUGGUUUGGCUUUGGUACCAUUUAUUUAUGCUCGAGGAAUGCCCAAGAAGAUUAUUGAUAACAUUAUUUUUACAAAUUAUUCUUAAUGUAAUAUUUGAUCUUUAUCAUGGAACUUAUUUUUGCUCAAACAUGGCAUUAUGUCUUGAACUAUGGUCCUUAAACAUGGCUCUGGUGUUCUUCAGUUUGAGAUUAAUUUGAUUGCACUGAGUCCUGAUAGAAUGAAUCUAAAGUUGCUGUGCUAGUUAGCUAUUGCAUAGCAGAAUCUCAGAACACCAGAACACCAGAAUUAGAAGAGAGAGAGAGAGAGAG
This 679-nucleotide unclassified non-coding RNA is filed under the name Hevea brasiliensis (rubber tree). Lineage: Eukaryota; Viridiplantae; Streptophyta; Magnoliopsida; Malpighiales; Euphorbiaceae. The record is from RNAcentral.